RNAcentral lists this RNase P RNA (416 nucleotides) under Tabrizicola oligotrophica. RNAcentral describes it as "Bacterial RNase P class A". It matches the Rfam family "Bacterial RNase P class A". Rfam says of the family: Ribonuclease P (RNase P) is a ubiquitous endoribonuclease, found in archaea, bacteria and eukarya as well as chloroplasts and mitochondria. The record is from Rfam by way of RNAcentral. Lineage: Bacteria; Pseudomonadati; Pseudomonadota; Alphaproteobacteria; Rhodobacterales; Paracoccaceae.
GCGGAGGGCUGGAUGACCGCGGGCCGAUCGGUUCGAGGAAAGUCCGGACUCCAUGAAGGAAGGGUGCCGGGUAACGCCCGGCGGGGGCAACCCCAGGGAAAGCGCCACAGAGAAGAGACCGCCCCGCACGCGGGGUAAGGGUGAAACGGUGGGGUAAGAGCCCACCGCGGCCCUGGCAACAGGGACGGCACGGCAAGCCCCACCCGGAGCAAUGCCGAAUAGGGGCCUCGCGUGGAAAGGUCCGCGACCGCCGCAAGGCGACGGCGGAGACCUCCACAGGGACACUUCAGCCCAGAGGUCCGGGUUGGCAGCUUGACCGCCCCGGCAACGGGUGCGGCAGAGGAAUGGUCAUCCAGAGGGCAAUGGCGCAAGCCGGGGCCCUUGGACAGAAUCCGGCUUACAGGCCCUCCGCGCGA